GUGUUCGCUUUGGCAGCACACACUAAAACUAGAACUAUACAGGGAAGAUUAGAACGGCCCCUGCGCAAGGAUGACAUGGAAAUUCAUGGAGUGUUACAUAUUUUU
Small nuclear RNA from Chlorocebus sabaeus (green monkey), 105 nucleotides. NCBI's taxonomy places the organism in Eukaryota, Metazoa, Chordata, Mammalia, Primates, Cercopithecidae. The record is from Ensembl.